AUGAAUUGCUUGGCCUAGAACUGUCGAGGACUGGGGUUGGACUCGACAGUUGGCGAACUACGGGACCUCAUACAGUCAUACAACCCAGUGGUGGUUUUUUUAUCGAAGACUAAGAAAAAUGCAAGGGCUAUGGAGAGACUAAAAUGGAGGCUUGGGUUUCAAAGUGGUGUAGCAGUGGAUUAUAAUGGGAGGAGUGGGGGUCUUGCACUAUGGUGGAGAGAGCACCUGCAGGUCACUGUUAGACCAUGGUGCCAGUAUUUCAUUGAUGCAGAGAUCAGUUCGGAGGGGCAUACCUGGAGGUUCACUGGAAUCUACGGGAGCCGAGAACAGAGUUGA
This 336-nucleotide ribosomal RNA is filed under the name Triticum aestivum (bread wheat). RNAcentral's name for it is "partial small subunit ribosomal RNA". Lineage: Eukaryota; Viridiplantae; Streptophyta; Magnoliopsida; Poales; Poaceae. The record is from RNAcentral.